Juglans microcarpa x Juglans regia is the source of this 851-nucleotide RNA transcript. RefSeq lists it as uncharacterized. The record is from RefSeq and is a predicted model, not a curated record. Lineage: Eukaryota; Viridiplantae; Streptophyta; Magnoliopsida; Fagales; Juglandaceae. The transcript has 2 exons.
UUAGCUUGCUAUUUGCUACUUGCUACUUGCCUAGUACUAGAGAUGUCUACCCAACCCAACCAACCAGCUGUUUCCUCGCUUGAAAUGGAUGCCCAGCCCAUCGAGCGGCUUAUCCAGCCUGAUCAAAAGUCCGCAGAUAUUGAUUUGGAUUCAUACUUCAAAUAUAAGCCAGAACGAGAUUCUGCCAAUGAUGUACGAAAUGCACUUUUAGUGGUGUUGGCACUGAUUGCUGCCGCUACCUUCCAAGCUGGACUCAACCCUCCCGGUGGGGUUUGGCAAGACACCAAGAACGACCAUGGGGUAAAUCAGGAAGCUGGCACCGCAAUUUUGGGUUCUUACCCCCACAAUUGCAAAGUUUUCUUUUUCUUUAAUACGCUAGCAUUUUCUUCAUCCAUCUACGUCAUUGGGUAUCUUGUAUCCGGAUUCCCCUUUUUUAUACAGAUAUGGAUUGGCUUAGUCUCAUUUUCCGCUACAUACGGUAUUUCAACUGCCUCCUUAAAACUUCGCAGUGCUGCUUGUCUAAACGAAACACUCGUCGCCGUUGCAUUUUUUCUUCCACUUGUAACGUUGUCUACGAUGUACUAUUUAAAGAGGGCGUGGCGUAGAUUAUCAACUUGGAUUAUCAAACUCAUCAAUAGAGGGCGUACUGCACUUAAGGUUAUUCUCUGUGACAGUUGAGGACAUCACAGUAGUGGACCAAGGCAUUGUGGGCUUGGGUGUAAGUAAUAAAGGUUUAGUCUUCGGCCUCAGUCCCAGGCCGAGGCUCUUUUACUAUUUAAUAGAGUUGUUUGAACUGUAUCAUUUCUUUGUCUGGUUAAGUUGACAUCUGACCCAUUAGUUAGUAGAACCCC